AAAAUUCACACUCUCCACACCCACACACACAAACAAAAACCCCCAAAACUCCUUUCGCACCAACAAAAAUGGCGAUUUCAGAUAAAGUAACAGCGAAUUUAACAACUCUGUAUCUAGCAAUUAUAGGUGCAAUGAAAGCUUACGGCUUAAUUAUCGGUCGAAAUUUCACUGGUUGCUUCGUUCUCAUACUUUCAACAGCUGCCGUCGCUCUGGUGUUGAUUUUGACUUUGACAUGGGAUAUUUACAUCAAGGCGAGAAAUGUUAGGGUUCGUCAUAAUCGGAUUAAUCAUCGUAAUCAGCAGCAGCAGCAUAAUAAUACUAGUAACGAAUUUUGUCGAGGUGGUAUAUGCUGGCACGGCGUCGCUGUUAGUUCUCCGGCGUCUCAUUUCCGGUUCCGGCUACCUCAAAAUCGUAUUUAAUUUGAUUCAGAAUUUAGACGAAGUAAGUUGAUUUAAUCGAAAAUAUAUAUAUAAAUUUUCAUAUUUUGGUCGGUAAUUUAUGUAGUUAUUU
Molecule: unclassified non-coding RNA, 510 nt
Filed under: Hevea brasiliensis (rubber tree)
Lineage: Eukaryota; Viridiplantae; Streptophyta; Magnoliopsida; Malpighiales; Euphorbiaceae
Source: RNAcentral